GACGAACGCCUUUAAAGGGCUUAACACUUUCAAGUCGAACGGUAAGGCUCCAGCUUGCUGGGGUACACGAGUGGCGAACGGGUGACUAACACGUGGGUGACCUGCCCUGCACUUCGGGAUAAGCCUGGGAAACUGGGUCUAAUACCGGAUAGGACCGCACCGUGAGGGUGUGGUGGAAAGUUUUUUCGGUGUGGGAUGGGCCCGCGGCCUAUCAGCUUGUUGGUGGGGUAAUGGCCUACCAAGGCGGCGACGGGUAGCCGGCCUGAGAGGGUGGACGGCCACAUUGGGACUGAGACACGGCCCAGACUCCUACGGGAGGCAGCAGUGGGGAAUAUUGCACAAUGGGCGGAAGCCUGAUGCAUCGACACCACGUGGGGGAUGACGGCCUUCGGGUUGUAAACUCCUUUCACCAUCGACGAAGGGGUUCUGACGCUAGAUGGAGAAGAAUCACCGGCUAACUACGUGCCAGCAGCCGCGGUGAUACGUAGGGUGCGAGCGUUGUCCCGGAAUACUGGGCGUAAAGAGCUCGUAGGUGGUUUGUCGCGUCGUCUGUGAAAUUCCGGGGCUUAACUCCGGGCGUGCAGGCGAUACGGGCAUAACUUGAGUACUGUAGGGGAGACUGGAAUUCCUGGUGUAGCGGUGAAAUGCGCAGGUAUCAGGAGGAACACCGGUGGCGAAGGCGGGUCUCUGGGCAGUAACUGACGCUGAGGAGCGAAAGCAUGGGGAGCGAACAGGAUUAGAUACCCUGGUAGUCCAUGCCGUAAACGGUGGGCGCUAGGUGUGGGUUUCCUUCCACGGGAUCCGUGCCGUAGCUAACGCAUUAAGCGCCCCGCCUGGGGAGUACGGCCGCAAGGCUAAAACUCAAAGGAAUUGACGGGGGCCCGCACAAGCGGCGGAGCAUAUGGAUUAAUUCGAUGCAACGCGAAGAACCUUACCUGGGCUUGACAUAUACAGGAUCGCGCCAGAGAUGGUGUUUCCCUUGUGGCUUGUAUACAGGUGGUGCAUGGUUGUCGUCAGCUCGUGUCGUGAGAUGUUGGGUUAAGUCCCGCAACGAGCGCAACCCUUGUCUUAUGUUGCCAGCACGUUGUGGUGGGGACUCGUAAGAAACUGCCGGGGUUAACUCGGAGGAAGGUGGGGAUGACGUCAAAUCAUCAUGCCCCUUAUGUCCAGGGCUUCACACAUGCUACAAUGGUCGGUACAGUGGGUUGCCAGUCCGUGAGGGCGAGCUAAUCCCGCAAAGCCGGUCUCAGUUCGGAUCGGGGUCUGCAACUCGACCCCGUGAAGUCGGAGUCGCUAGUAAUCGCAGAUCAGCAACGCUGCGGUGAAUACGUUCCCGGGCCU
RNAcentral lists this ribosomal RNA (1341 nucleotides) under uncultured bacterium. RNAcentral's name for it is "bacterial SSU rRNA". It matches the Rfam family "Bacterial small subunit ribosomal RNA", at positions 28 to 1381 of the family's 1533-position model. The record is from RNAcentral.